UUUUAGCACUGAGUUGCGUGAAGGAUUGAAGUGAAAAGCCCGGAACAAAAAACGCCAAUUUUCUUGAGCCAAAAAAGCGACCAACGGAAGCUCUUUUUGGGUUUUAGAAAAUGGCGUUUUUUGUGAGGACUUGUAACGGAAAGCCUGACCCUUG
Molecule: small RNA, 154 nt
Filed under: Flavobacterium lacus
Lineage: Bacteria; Pseudomonadati; Bacteroidota; Flavobacteriia; Flavobacteriales; Flavobacteriaceae
Description: Flavo-1 RNA
Source: RNAcentral